AACGAACGCUGGCGGCGUGCUUAAUACAUGCAAGUCGAACGUGAAUCCCGACUUCGGUUGGGAUGAAAGUGGCGAACGGGUGAGUAACACGUAAGUAAUCUGCCUUCAAGUUUGGGAUAACCCUGCCAACGCGGGGCUAAUACCGGAUGUGGUCCAGCUGACACAUGUUGGCUGGAUUAAAGGGUCGCGAGGCCGCUUGGAGAUGAGCUUGCGGCCCAUUAGUUAGUUGGUGAGGUAACGGCCCACCAAGACGAAGAUGGGUAGCCGGCCUGAGAGGGUGUACGGCCACAUUGGGACUGAGAUACGGCCCAGACUCCUACGGGAGGCAGCAGUAGGGAAUUUUGCGCAAUGGACGGAAGUCUGACGCAGCAACGCCGCGUGAAGGAUGACGGCCUCGGGUUGUAACUUACUGUUGGAUGGGAAAAAAGACCUAAGGAAUAGGAAUUAGAUAGGUACCAUUCGAGUAAGCACCGGCUAACUACGUGCCAGCAGCCGCGGUAAAAGUAGUGUAGUACU
This 516-nucleotide ribosomal RNA is filed under the name uncultured bacterium. RNAcentral's name for it is "bacterial SSU rRNA". It matches the Rfam family "Bacterial small subunit ribosomal RNA", at positions 29 to 536 of the family's 1533-position model. The record is from RNAcentral.